This 815-nucleotide long non-coding RNA is filed under the name Lonchura striata (white-rumped munia). RNAcentral's name for it is "domestica (Bengalese finch) lncRNA (ENSLSDG00000013191.1)". The record is from RNAcentral. Lineage: Eukaryota; Metazoa; Chordata; Aves; Passeriformes; Estrildidae.
GGCUGGCAGAUGGCCAGGAGUGGGAUUAGCCCUCCUGUGGAGGGGGAUGAGCUCGUGAGGGUGGUUGACAUCCUGCAUGUAGUGCAGCUUUUCAUCCUGCCUGGCAGGGAUUCCCAGGGAGGGGGUUGGGCAGCUCUUGGAGAGAAUUUUCUUGGAGAUAAAUUGCCCUUGCAGGCAUGGAGCUGUCCCUCAGCCUGUCCUAUGUCCCCAGUAGACUGGUUUGUAGGGUUUGGGCUGCUGGGAUAAAGCUGCCCCUGAUUAGAAACAGCACCCUGAGGGGAGGGUCUGUGCUGGGGGUCCCAAUGAGCCCCUUUGGCUCUCUGCUUGGCUGCUCAUGACUGUGUCCCCCCACCUUCUAACAGUUCCUGGAUCAGGAGAACCAAAUGUGCCGCAAGCAGCUGCUGGAGGUGGAGGCCAGACUGAACUCCACACUGGCCACUCUGCAGGAGCGCGUCCAGCAGCAUGAGGAGCUGAUGGAGUCCCACCAACACCUGCGGGAAGAGCAGGCUGCCCUCAGCAAGGAGCUGGACAGCACCAAGACCGAGCUCUUCAGCUUGCAGAUAAAUAGGUCCAAAAUUUCUUGCUGCUCCACGGGCAUUAUGAAGAACAAGAUGCGGUUGCAGGAGCUCACUGACUGCCUCAAGGCUGCUCUGGAAGAGCAGGAUGAUGAUGAUGAUGAUACCCCAUCGAGAAGCAAAGCCUGGACCCCACGCCUUGCCUGGACCCCGGCAUGCCGCACCCCAUGCCACACCGGCAGCUCCUUCGUGGGCAGCGUCAUGAAAGCUGUAUCAGGGGAAGAUGCCAAUGAAACCACC